AUUGAACGCUGGCGGCAGGCCUAACACAUGCAAGUCGAACGGUAACAGGAGGCAGCUUGCUGCUUCGCUGACGAGUGGCGGACGGGUGAGUAAUGUCUGGGAAGCUGCCUGAUGGAGGGGGAUAACUACUGGAAACGGUAGCUAAUACCGCAUAAUGUCGCAAGACCAAAGAGGGGGACCUUCGGGCCUCUUGCCAUCGGAUGUGCCCAGAUGGGAUUAGCUUGUUGGUGGGGUAACGGCUCACCAAGGCGACGAUCCCUAGCUGGUCUGAGAGGAUGACCAGCCACACUGGAACUGAGACACGGUCCAGACUCCUACGGGAGGCAGCAGUGGGGAAUAUUGCACAAUGGGCGCAAGCCUGAUGCAGCCAUGCCGCGUGUAUGAAGAAGGCCUUCGGGUUGUAAAGUACUUUCAGCGGGGAGGAAGGGAGUAAAGUUAAUACCUUUGCUCAUUGACGUUACCCGCAGAAGAAGCACCGGCUAACUCCGUG
RNAcentral lists this ribosomal RNA (490 nucleotides) under uncultured bacterium. RNAcentral describes it as "partial 16S ribosomal RNA". It matches the Rfam family "Bacterial small subunit ribosomal RNA", at positions 30 to 507 of the family's 1533-position model. The record is from RNAcentral.